UGAGGAACAUGACCUUCGGCGGGGGAUAGCCGGCCCAACGGCUGGGUAAUACCGCGUACGACCACAUGGGGACAUCCCUGAGUGGUGAAAGCAGCAAUGCGCCGAUGGAGUGCCUCGCGGCCUAUCAGCUAGUUGGUGAGGUAACGGCUCACCAAGGCAACGACGGGUAGCUGGUCUGAGAGGAUGGCCAGCCACAUUGGGACUGAGACACGGCCCAGAUCCGUACGGGG
RNAcentral lists this ribosomal RNA (230 nucleotides) under uncultured bacterium. RNAcentral's name for it is "partial 16S ribosomal RNA". It matches the Rfam family "Bacterial small subunit ribosomal RNA", at positions 118 to 346 of the family's 1533-position model. The record is from RNAcentral.